GGGGAAUUUUGGACAAUGGGCGAAAGCCUGAUCCAGCAAUGCCGCGUGCAGGAUGAAGGCCUUCGGGUUGUAAACUGCUUUUGUACGGAACGAAAAAGCUCCUUCUAAUACAGGGGGCCCAUGACGGUACCGUAAGAAUAAGCACCGGCUAACUACGUGCCAGCAGCCGCGGUAAUACGUAGGGUGCGAGCGUUAAUCGGAAUUACGGGGCGUAAAGCGUGCGCAGGCGGUUAUGUAAGACAGAUGUGAAAGCCCCGGGCUCAACCUGGGAACUGCAUUUGUGACUGCAUGGCUAGAGUACGGUAGAGGGGGAUGGAAUUCCGCGUGUAGCAGUGAAAUGCGUAGAUAUUAGGAGGAACACCGGUGGCGAAGGCGGCUUGCUGGACAAAUACUGACGCUGAGGUGCGAAAGCGUGGGGAGCAAACA
Molecule: ribosomal RNA, 426 nt
Filed under: uncultured Delftia sp.
Lineage: Bacteria; Pseudomonadati; Pseudomonadota; Betaproteobacteria; Burkholderiales; Comamonadaceae
Description: bacterial SSU rRNA
Rfam family: Bacterial small subunit ribosomal RNA
Source: RNAcentral